Molecule: unclassified non-coding RNA, 200 nt
Filed under: uncultured Inocybaceae
Lineage: Eukaryota; Fungi; Basidiomycota; Agaricomycetes; Agaricales
Description: sequence contains ITS2
Source: RNAcentral
GACUUGUCAACCGCAUCAAUUGCGAUGUGGCUUGGAUGUGGGGGUUCUUUGCAGGCUUUCAUGAGGUCAGCUCCCCUGAAAUGCAUUAGUGGUAUCUGAGCAGAACUACUACCAUCAGGUGUGAUAAAUUAUCUAUGCCUUUGGGUAUGCUGCAUGAACAGAUUGUGCUGCUGAUAGAGAUAUGGGAAAUUGUUUGACGA